UACGAAGGGGGCUAGCGUUGCUCGGAAUCACUGGGCGUAAAGGGUGCGUAGGCGGGUCUUUAAGUCAGGGGUGAAAUCCUGGAGCUCAACUCCAGAACUGCCUUUGAUACUGAGGGGCUUGAGUCCGGGAGAGGUGAGUGGAACUGCGAGUGUAGAGGUGAAAUUCGUAGAUAUUCGCAAGAACACCAGUGGCGAAGGCGGCUCACUGGCCCGGUACUGACGCUGAGGUGCGAAAGCGUGGGGAGCAAACAGG
This 253-nucleotide ribosomal RNA is filed under the name uncultured bacterium. Its description in RNAcentral is "partial 16S ribosomal RNA". It matches the Rfam family "Bacterial small subunit ribosomal RNA", at positions 524 to 776 of the family's 1533-position model. The record is from RNAcentral.